GACGAACGCUGGCGGCGUGCUUAACACAUGCAAGUCGAACGGAAAGGCCCUGCGUUUGUGGGGUUCUCGAGUGGCGAACGCGUGAGUAACACGUGAGUAACCUGCCCUUGACUUUGGGAUAACUUCAGGAAACUGGGGCUAAUACCGGAUAGGAGCUCCUGCUGCAUGGGGGGGGUUGGAAAGUGUCGGCGGUUUGGGCUGGACUCGCGGGUUAUGCGCUGGUUGGUGGGGUAGUUGCGUACCAAGGCUUUGAAGGGUAGGCGGCCUGGGAGGGUGGCCGGCCACAUUGGGCCUACGGUACGGCCCAGACGCCAACGUGAGGCAGCGGUCGGGAACCUUGCGCAAUGGCCGGAAGCCUGAGGCAGAGACGCUGCGUGCGGGAUGACGGCCUUCGGGUUGUAAACAGAUUUCGCAGGUGCCGAAGCGUGAUUGACGGUAACGGGUAAAAAAGCCCCGGCUAACUACGUG
This 468-nucleotide ribosomal RNA is filed under the name uncultured bacterium. RNAcentral describes it as "partial 16S ribosomal RNA". It matches the Rfam family "Bacterial small subunit ribosomal RNA", at positions 28 to 507 of the family's 1533-position model. The record is from RNAcentral.